This 402-nucleotide ribosomal RNA is filed under the name uncultured bacterium. Its description in RNAcentral is "bacterial SSU rRNA". It matches the Rfam family "Bacterial small subunit ribosomal RNA", at positions 975 to 1375 of the family's 1533-position model. The record is from RNAcentral.
CUGGUCUUGACAUCCCGGGAAUCUUGUGGAAACACGAGAGUGCCUCGUAAGAGGAGCCCGGUGACAGGUGCUGCAUGGCUGUCGUCAGCUCGUGUCGUGAGAUGUUGGGUUAAGUCCCGCAACGAGCGCAACCCUUGUCUUUAGUUGCCAGCAUUCAGUUGGGCACUCUAAAGAGACUGCCGGUGUCAAACCGGAGGAAGGUGGGGAUGACGUCAAGUCCUCAUGGCCUUUAUGACCAGGGCUACACACGUACUACAAUGGCAUGUACAAAGGGCAGCAACAUCGCGAGGUGAAGCGAAUCCCAAAAGCAUGUCUCAGUCCGGAUUGGAGUCUGCAACUCGACUCCAUGAAGUUGGAAUCGCUAGUAAUCGCGGAUCAGCACGCCGCGGUGAAUACGUUCCC